Salvia splendens (bonfire salvia) is the source of this 112-nucleotide small nuclear RNA. NCBI's taxonomy places the organism in Eukaryota, Viridiplantae, Streptophyta, Magnoliopsida, Lamiales, Lamiaceae. The record is from RefSeq and is a predicted model, not a curated record.
GUGUUCGUAGAAAGGAGAGAUGGUUGGUAUCUCCCCUGACAGGGACGGGAACAGCCUUCAGGCUUUACUUGGUUAAGGCUUACCACUUCGGUGGAUCUUAUAAGGACUUCGA